Stegodyphus mimosarum is the source of this 82-nucleotide non-coding RNA. Lineage: Eukaryota; Metazoa; Arthropoda; Arachnida; Araneae; Eresidae. The record is from Rfam.
GGUAGCGUGGCCGAGUGGUCUAAGGUACUGGUUUUAGGCACCAGUCUCUUUGGAGGCGUGGGUUCGAAUCCCACCGCUGCCA